CCGCACUUGGAACUGAUCUCGCUAAUGGAGCGCGGUGCAGCCCGAAAUUACUAGUAUGGCGAUUCUACUGAUUGGCUGGCUCGGUGGAUCAGCUCCGCUCCGUCUGGUCUUGGAGGUCAAUAAAUCACCAGCGCUGACUCUUCACCUGUGACAUUACUCUCGUGCCAAUUAAACAAACAACUUUCAGCUUGUCCGCGGUGAUUAGCAUUUAAAUUGGGGCAUCCUUAGCCCCGAGCACUGGGUGUUCGUAUUGAUUUAUGCAAAUCGCGAGCGCGCGAUCGGAAAGGAAAAAAACUCCCGGACGCCGUACGCGGAGGAGGGCUUAACGGGUCCAACAGGUCCAAGGUGCCGAGGGGCCAAGGGUGUCUUACCUUGAAGUCGGACAGGGCAUCAGCACUGAAGCCAGGGAAGAUCAUGCGACAUGUGCAAAAGUUCAGGUUCAGGAAGGAGAAGGAGAAGUAAGCAAGGCAAACAAAAGUAAACAAAACGCAAAAUCCACAACAACGGCGGCUCAGAGGCUGAAGAAAUACUAACAAUAAAAAGUAAAUGCACAGAUUGUAUAAAACGCAAAAUAAAUCUUCAGUACGUGCCCAA
Molecule: long non-coding RNA, 594 nt
Organism: Drosophila sechellia
Lineage: Eukaryota; Metazoa; Arthropoda; Insecta; Diptera; Drosophilidae
Exons: 2
Source: RefSeq, a predicted model, not a curated record